RNAcentral lists this ribosomal RNA (506 nucleotides) under uncultured bacterium. RNAcentral describes it as "partial 16S ribosomal RNA". It matches the Rfam family "Bacterial small subunit ribosomal RNA", at positions 29 to 523 of the family's 1533-position model. The record is from RNAcentral.
AGUGAACGCUGGCGGUAGGCCUAACACAUGCAAGUCGAACGGCAGCACAGGAGAGCUUGCUCUCUGGGUGGCGAGUGGCGGACGGGUGAGGAAUACAUCGGAAUCUACUCUGUCGUGGGGGAUAACGUAGGGAAACUUACGCUAAUACCGCAUACGAUCUACGGGUGAAAGCAGGGGAUCUUCGGACCUUGCGCGAUUGAAUGAGCCGAUGUCGGAUUAGCUAGUUGGCGGGGUAAAGGCCCACCAAGGCGACGAUCCGUAGCUGGUCUGGGAGGAUGAUCAGCCACACUGGAACUGAGACACGGUCCCGACUCCUACGGGAGGCAGCAGUGGGGAAUAUUGGACAAUGGGCGCAAGCCUGAUCCAGCCAUACCGCGUGGGUGAAGAAGGCCUUCGGGUUGUAAAGCCCUUUUGUUGGGAAAGAAAUCCAUCUGGUUAAUACCCGGGUGGGAUGACGGUACCCAAAGAAUAAGCACCGGCUAACUUCGUGCCAGCCGCCGCCGUAA